GCCUCCGGGGGGCAGCAGUAGGGAAUCUUCCACGCUGGACGAAAGUCUGAUGGAGCAACGCCGCGUGAGUGAAGAAGUAAUUCGUUAUGUAAAGCUCUAUCAGCAGGGAAGAAAAUGACGGUACCUGAGUAAGAAGCCCCGGCUAACUACGUGCCAGCAGCCGCGGUAAUACGUAGGGGGCAAGCGUUAUCCGGAUUUACUGGGUGUAAAGGGAGCGUAGACGGCAGGGCAAGUCUGGAGUGAAAGGCGGGGGCUCAACCCCCGGACUGCUCUGGAAACUGUACGGCUGGAGUGCAG
This 297-nucleotide ribosomal RNA is filed under the name uncultured bacterium. RNAcentral describes it as "partial 16S ribosomal RNA". It matches the Rfam family "Bacterial small subunit ribosomal RNA", at positions 337 to 651 of the family's 1533-position model. The record is from RNAcentral.